UACGUAGGUGGCAAGCGUUGUCCGGAAUUAUUGGGCGUAAAGCGCGUGUAGGCGGCCAGGUAGGUCUGCUGUGAAAACUCGAGGCUCAACCUCGAGAUGUCGGCGGAAACCAUCUGGCUAGAGUCCGGAAGAGGAGAGUGGAAUUCCCGGUGUAGCGGUGAAAUGCGCAGAUAUCGGGAAGAACACCCGUGGCGAAGGCGGCUCUCUGGGACGGUACUGACGCUGAGACGCGAAAGCGUGGGGAGCGAACAGG
Molecule: ribosomal RNA, 253 nt
Filed under: uncultured bacterium
Lineage: Bacteria
Description: partial 16S ribosomal RNA
Rfam family: Bacterial small subunit ribosomal RNA
Source: RNAcentral